AUUGAACGCUGGCGGAAUGCUUUACACAUGCAAGUCGAACGGCAGCACGGACUUCGGUCUGGUGGCGAGUGGCGAACGGGUGAGUAAUGUAUCGGAACGUGCCCAGUCGUGGGGGAUAACGUAGUGAAAAUUACGCUAAUACCGCAUACGAUCUAUGGAUGAAAGCGGGGGAUCGCAAGACCUCGCGCGAUUGGAGCGGCCGAUAUCAGAUUGGGUAGUUGGUGGGGUGAAGGCCCACAAAGCCAACGAUCUGUAGCUGGUCUGAGAGGACGACCAGCCACACUGGAACGGAGACACGGUCCAGACUCCUACGGGAGGCAGCAGUGGGGAAUUUUGGACAAGGGGCGAAAGCCUGAUCCAGCCAUUCCGCGUGCAGGAUGAAGGCCCUCGGGUUGUAAACUGCUUUUGUACAGAACGAAAAGGUUUCUACUAAUACUAGGAGCUCAUGACGGUACUGUAAGAAUAAGCACCGGCUAACUACGUGCCAGCCGCCGCAGUAA
Molecule: ribosomal RNA, 500 nt
Filed under: uncultured bacterium
Lineage: Bacteria
Description: partial 16S ribosomal RNA
Rfam family: Bacterial small subunit ribosomal RNA
Source: RNAcentral